Molecule: ribosomal RNA, 118 nt
Filed under: Periophthalmus magnuspinnatus
Lineage: Eukaryota; Metazoa; Chordata; Actinopteri; Gobiiformes; Gobiidae
Source: RNAcentral
AAUUGUGGCCAUGCAAACUCAUCACAACCUGAUCUCAGCAGCUCUCAGAAGCUAAACAAGGCUGGGCCUGGUUAGUAUUUGGAUGGGAGACUGCUGGGAAUACCAGGUGCCACAGUGG